RNAcentral lists this ribosomal RNA (472 nucleotides) under uncultured eukaryote. Its description in RNAcentral is "SSU rRNA". It matches the Rfam family "Eukaryotic small subunit ribosomal RNA", at positions 19 to 494 of the family's 1831-position model. The record is from RNAcentral.
AGUAGUCAUAUGCUUGUCUCAAAGACUAAGGCAUGCAUGUCUAAGUAUAAGUAUUAUACAGCGAAACUGCGAAUGGCUCAUUAAAACAGUAUAGUUUAUUUGACAAUCUCAGUUAUAUGGAUACCCGUAGUAAUUCUAGAGCUAAUACAUGCUGUACUCCUAACUUUUGUGGAAGGGAGGUAUUUAUUAGAUAAUAACCAAUAUUCCGUAGGCUCUAUCGUGGUGAAUCAUAAUAACUGAUCGAAUCGCACAGCCUUUGGCUGCGAUAAGUCAUUCAAGUUUCCUGCCCCAUCAGCUUUAGAUGGUAGUGUAUUGGACUACCAUGGCGUUCACGGGUAACGGAGGAUUAGGGUUCGAUUCCGGAGAGGGAGCCUGAGAAACGGCUACCACAUCCAAGGAAGGCAGCAGCCGCGUAAAUUACCCAAAUCCUGACUCAGGGAGGUAGUGACAAGAAAUAACAAGCGGUGGCCUA